CCUANGGGUGGCAGCAGUCGAGGAUUUUUCUCAAUGGGGGAAACCCUGAAGGAGCGACGCCGCGUGAGGGAUGAAGGUCUUCGGAUUGUAAACCUCUGUCAUCUGGGAACAAUGCUAGUCACCUAACACGUGCCUAGUUGAUAGUACCGGAAGAGGAAGCAGUGGCUAACUCUGUGCCAGCAGCCGCGGUAAUACAGAGACUGCAAGCGUUGUUCGGAUUCAUUGGGCGUAAAGGGUGCGCAGGCGGUGUGUUAAGUCGGAUGUGAAAUCUCACAGCCUAACUGUGAUAGGUCAUUCGAAACUGGCAUGCUAGAGGACUGGAGAGGAGACUGGAAUAGUCGGUGUAGCGGUGAAAUGUGUAGAGAUCGGGAGGAACACCGGUGGCGAAGGCGGGUCUCUGGGCAAUUCCUGACGCUGAGGCGCGAAAGCGUGGGGAGCAAACGGGAUUAGAUACCCCGNUANUC
This 464-nucleotide ribosomal RNA is filed under the name uncultured bacterium. RNAcentral's name for it is "bacterial SSU rRNA". It matches the Rfam family "Bacterial small subunit ribosomal RNA", at positions 338 to 795 of the family's 1533-position model. The record is from RNAcentral.